RNAcentral lists this ribosomal RNA (460 nucleotides) under uncultured bacterium. RNAcentral describes it as "partial 16S ribosomal RNA". It matches the Rfam family "Bacterial small subunit ribosomal RNA", at positions 338 to 795 of the family's 1533-position model. The record is from RNAcentral.
CCUACGGGGUGCAGCAGUGAGGAAUAUUGGUCAAUGGGCGCAAGCCUGAACCAGCCAAGUCGCGUGAGGGAAGACGGCCCUACGGGUUGUAAACCUCUUUUGCCGGGGAGCAAGCCUGAGCACGUGUGCCCAGGCGGAGAGUACCCGGAGAAAAAGCAUCGGCUAACUCCGUGCCAGCAGCCGCGGUAAUACGGAGGAUGCGAGCGUUAUCCGGAUUUAGUGGGUUUAGAGGGUUCGCAGGCGGGCUGUUAAGCCGGCGGUAAAAAUUCAGGGCUCAACCCUGUCGAGCCGUCGGAACUGGCAGCCUUGAGUGGGCGAGAAGUAUGCGGAAUGCGUGGUGUAGCGGUGAAAUGCAUAGAUAUCACGCAGAACGCCGAUUGCGAAGGCAGCAUACCGGCGCCCGACUGACGCUGAGGCACGAAAGCGUGGGGAUCGAACAGGAUUAGAUACCCGAGUAGUC